UUUUCUGUUAGCAGAGAUUCUACUACCAUCAUCUUAUUUUGCAGCAAUAGAGACAAAGGGGAUUUUCCUGAGCAGCAUCAGUAACAAAGAAAUGAGUCAAAUCAUUAAGAAACUGAUGGGCAUUCACUGAAGAGCAACAAAUAUGAUGUAUAUGUCUAAAGGGACUGCCUUCAGAGGGCAGAUGAAAGAGACAAGUCUCCUAGCAUGACCACACGGCACUAACGGGACUGGCUCAUCAGCCACAAGUACUUGAAGGCUGCAGUCGUAAUUAGCAACUGACACAUUCUGAAACCUGUGGUGGCCCAGAAGAACACACAUGUGCACAGGCUGUGCCAACCUGGGGCAAUAACUGCAACUGAAAGGAACGGGCACAGCUUGGUCAGAUGGAAACUGGGGCAGGCAGAGAAGGGCUCAUGUUACUGUGAUUACUAGAAGGAGCACAGCUGUGACCAUCUCAACCCUUCUCAGCCAGAGGAUGACACGGAAGCAGGGGACAAAAAUGGUAAAAGGGUCACAGGAGGGAGAGGCAGCAAGAAAGAAAGCGAAAGAAUCCAGAGAGGGAAACUCACAGAUGCAAGCUCUUUGCAGGUGGAGAAUAUCACAGCUCCUGAGAAAAAUACUGUAUGUGGUUGAGCAUAAGUGAAACUUAGCAUUCUAGAAGACUGAAGUUUGCAACAAACAAAUUCAGGGUUUGACCUACACCUGACAGAUAUAGGUCAACCCUCAUCCUGCUGCUCUCAGCAGCUGUAGCCAAUAGGAGACAGCGCUGCCCAGCAUGCUGGUUUAAGCUGCUGCUAAUAGAGGGAAAUCAACCUAACCCCAUAUUUCCUGCCUCUGUAGUCCUCACUUGUCUAUUCAUCACCAACUCAGGCGCAGGCAGAGCUGCUGGCUUGGUGUAACUGCUGGAUGACUGAUAAAUGGAAUCUGGUGAUAGCAUAUAUAUUCCCAUCUCAUCUAGCUAAAAAAAAUUGUUGUAAAGUCUUUUAAGGGAGGACUAUUAAAAUGCAAUAUUCCCUCAUUAAUGUAAAUGCUUUCCUAAAUUCAUACAACCAGAAGAGACUUACUAAUUCUUCACACCAACAGAACUUAAGAGAUGUUUAGAGAGAGGAAAUUCUGUGACAGAGGCGUGUUUUUGAAAGGAUACAGCAGAGGUUAAGUGACUUAUCCCAUGUUACUUAGUGGUGAUGGUUAAGGCAGAAAGAGAACUGAGAGAGUGGUCUGAGAGUAAGUGUGGAAAUUAUGAAAUUAAAUCUAAAGAAAGAACAUUAUCACCAAAUCAUGUUGCGUUAAAUAUCUAUUGGAAAUCCCAGUUCAGUAACACACAUUCCUUUAUCCUACAUGUUCAGACUCAUGUUAAAAGUGAGUUCAUAUAUUUCCUAGGCUCAUGUUU
Long non-coding RNA from Sapajus apella (tufted capuchin), 1390 nucleotides. RefSeq lists it as uncharacterized. The record is from RefSeq and is a predicted model, not a curated record. NCBI's taxonomy places the organism in Eukaryota, Metazoa, Chordata, Mammalia, Primates, Cebidae. The transcript is spliced from 2 exons.